Molecule: ribosomal RNA, 253 nt
Filed under: uncultured bacterium
Lineage: Bacteria
Description: partial 16S ribosomal RNA
Rfam family: Bacterial small subunit ribosomal RNA
Source: RNAcentral
UACGUAGGGGGCAAGCGUUGUCCGGAAUCAUUGGGCGUAAAGCGCGUGUAGGCGGUGCGGUAAGUCCGGUGUGAAAGUCGGGGGCUCAACCCUCGAAUGCCGGUGGAUACUGUCGGGCUCGAGUGCGGGAGAGGCGAGUGGAAUUCCUGGUGUAGCGGUGAAAUUCGUAGAUAUUCGGAAGAACACCAGUGGCGAAGGCGACUUACUGGACGACUGUUGACGCUGAGGUGCGAAAGCGUGGGGAGCAAACAGG